Magallana angulata is the source of this 547-nucleotide long non-coding RNA. RefSeq lists it as uncharacterized. The transcript has 3 exons. Lineage: Eukaryota; Metazoa; Mollusca; Bivalvia; Ostreida; Ostreidae. The record is from RefSeq and is a predicted model, not a curated record.
AAGAGUUCACUUAUAAGGUAUAUAUAGCUGAUCAAUUUUUGUACAGGACGACAAUAAUUCAAUUUUGCUCCAAUUAAGGCUAUUUAAUGGCUUUUCCCACAAAAACAGAGCUGACAGAAAUUUAAAAGCCAUGAUAUUUUUUGUCAUUUUAGUAGAAAAAAAACAUUUUCUUAAAAAACAAUUCAACAUGAAAAUUGCAGCUCAUAUUGCUUUAAACAAAUAUCUGUUUUUUAGUUUUAAUAUUUAAAGUCUGGUGUUUAUUUUUCUUAGCUGUUCCACUCUACAAUGGACUUUGAGACCCUCUCCCCCAGGAUGACCUGUGCAAUUAUUUGUACAGGCAAUUCACUCCACCAGAAAAGAGCCCUGUGGACAUGAGGAGAAAGAAGAUGACAGUAGCACUUAGGGCAUUCUUAACAAUGAAAAAGUUUACCGAAUGUUAGAAGUUCUGGCCAGAGUUUAAAGUUCUAUGCAUCAAUAAAAGAGACAAUAGACCGAACAUAUAAGGGGCUUCUGUGGGAAAAAGAAAGAAGAAUCAAGGGUUACCAAG